Transfer RNA from Coprinopsis cinerea okayama7#130, 94 nucleotides. It matches the Rfam family "tRNA". From Rfam's summary of the family: Transfer RNA (tRNA) molecules are approximately 80 nucleotides in length. Their secondary structure includes four short double-helical elements and three loops (D, anti-codon, and T loops). The record is from Rfam. Lineage: Eukaryota; Fungi; Basidiomycota; Agaricomycetes; Agaricales; Psathyrellaceae.
GGCAACAUGGCCGAGUGGUCUAAGGCGCUGGAAUUAGGUCAUGCGAUCGAAAAUCCAGUCUUCACGGGCGAGGGUUCGAAUCCCUCUGUUGUCA